Long non-coding RNA from Dicentrarchus labrax (European seabass), 1794 nucleotides. RefSeq lists it as uncharacterized. Lineage: Eukaryota; Metazoa; Chordata; Actinopteri; Moronidae. The record is from RefSeq and is a predicted model, not a curated record. The transcript has 3 exons.
UUGCAGCGCACAACGUGUACGGUACAGUACGGCCGGGCCUCGUGCGUCCGUGUCCUGUCGGUGGACCGGGGAGAGAAAACGUUUCCGUGUUUUUUUUAGUCGGUUAGUUUUAGUUUUUAUAUCCAGAUUGUGAGACAUUAACGAUCUGCUGCAAAUACGGUUUAAAUACAUGAGUUACUUUACUGAGGUACCUGAACGUAUCAUUUUAUGGUAUUUAAAUAAACUACACCAAGGUAAUGUUUACUUUUAAUAUAUUUAAUAUUUAUAAGAUACAUAGAUUCAUAUUUAUAUAUUAAACUGUAUCAUCUGCUUAUAAAAUUAUACAUAUCAGGCUUGGGGAGUAAUGGAUUACAUGUAACUAAUGUCAUUUUAUGCUAUUUUAAAUAAACUUUAUCAAGGUAAUGUUGUGCUUUUUACACCAGAACAUACAUUUGACAUUUAUAAGAUACAUAGAAUCAUAUUUUUAUAUUAAACUCUAUAACCAGCUUCUAAAAAUGAUACAUUGUAAUCAAGCUUGGGGAGUAAUGGAUUACAUGUAACUAAUGUCAUUUUAUGCUAUUUAAAUAAACUACACCAAGGUAAUGUUUACUUUUAAUAUAUUUAACAUUUAUAAGAUACAUAGAUUCAUAUUUAUACAUUAAACUGUAUCCUCUGCUUAUAAAAUGAUACAUAUCAGGCUUGAGGAGUAAUGGAUUACAUGUAACUAAUGUCAUUUUAUGCUAUUUUAAAUAAACUUUAUCAAGGUAAUGUUGUGCUUUUUACACCAGAACAUACAUUUGACAUUUAUAAGAUACAUAGAAUCAUAUUUUUAUAUUAAACUCUAUAACCAGCUUCUAAAAAUGAUACAUUGUAAUCAAGCUUGGGGAGUAAUGGAUUACAUGUAAUUCAGUUACAUAGUCAGAGGACAGUCGAAUAUUUCCUGGUUUUAGUCGGUUAGUUUAGUUUUUAUAUCCAGAUUGUGAGACAUUAACAAUCUGCUGCAAACACGGUUUAAAUACAUGCUGAGUUCAACUGUAAAUAGAUACUUUACUGAGGUACCUGAAUGUAUCAUUUUAUGCUAUUUAAAUAAACUACACCAAAGUAACGUUGUACUUUUUACAUACAUUUAACAUUUAUAAGAUACAUAGAUUAAAUUAAACUGUAUCAUCUGCUUUUCAAAAUGAUACAUAUCAGGUUUGGGGAGUAAUGGAUUACAUGUAACUAAUGUCAUUUUAUGCUAUUUUAAUAAACUAAACCAAGGUAAUGUUUUUAAAUUCACUCACUCAACAGAAACAAAACACACAUGAAAUAAAAAAUGAAAUAAAACAGAAAAAUGCAAUAUAAGAUAUAAUGAAAGUAGAGUUGUAUGUAAACUAUAUACAGAUUUUUGUAUAUAAAGAUGUGAUUGAUAUGGAACAUUGAACAGGUCACAGCAUCAAUACUUACUAUUGAUAUCUGUUUUAUCUUGCUUUUAUUUACAUAUUUGGUCCCAAAGUAACAGAAAGUAAUCAAUUUAUGUUAAAAUACUUGGAUUAAAUUACUGACUACAGGUAAUUAGUAAUUAUAUAAGAUUAUAUUUUUAUAGUAGCCCUUCCAACACAGAUUGUUUUAUUGAUUAAAAUAUCUAUAAAAACUCUUGUAUUAGCGCCACCUGCCUAAUGCAUCAGUGACAGUAUUAACCAUUACAGAGCCAUUCUGCAUGAUGAGUACUUUUACUAUAAUGUACUAUUGUAUGUUUAAAGGUUGAGGAUGAUUCAAAAUGUGCAAUAAUAUUCAGAAAUUAAGAAACAAUGCAAUAAACAAAUAAUAAACAAA